Long non-coding RNA from Sapajus apella (tufted capuchin), 8732 nucleotides. RefSeq lists it as uncharacterized. NCBI's taxonomy places the organism in Eukaryota, Metazoa, Chordata, Mammalia, Primates, Cebidae. The transcript has 2 exons. The record is from RefSeq and is a predicted model, not a curated record.
GCCACCGCGCCCAGCCUGGGUCAUUUGUUUAGGUAAACAGAGCCAUACAUUCAUCAGUCUUCUGAAAGGCCAUCCAUACACUGUAACACAGCCUAAUAACAGAGUUUGUUGUAAAAAAAAAAAAAAAAAAAAAAAACAACUGUCAGAAAAGGCUACCUUUUGUUCUGUAUAUUCAGUUUACAUAGACGUGGAAAUAAGCUAUCCAUACUAUCCUCUCAGCUCCUCAACAGGCCUGCUUCAAGGGCAUCAUUCUCCCAUCUUUCAUAUGAAGAAACAAGCUACGACAGGUAAGGUAUUAUUCACCCAGGGCCACACUGCUAGGAUCCAAACCCAAAUCUGUCCACCUUCAAAGCCCCAGGUUUCCUUACCAAUAAAUACUAUGGCACCUCACUAAACUCAAGGUGAAGAAAUAACUGAAAAUAUUAGUUGAAAAAGAGCUAAUGCAGACCACAACCUAAAGAUACACCAAAUCAAAAGAAUUCUCUUUUGUUCCAGCAUUAACUCUAUGUCUGCCUAUAGUAUUUUUCUAUCUUCUUGGCAGGAAACCUUUCACUCACCUUCUAAUCUGACCCUAGCUCCUUCCCUGAAAACAGAAAUUCCGAUAAUACAUCAAAAUAGGUUAACAUUAGCUACAGGAAUACCAAUUGCCUAAAGGUAAAACUUGCGAUUACGAAAUUCUAAAGAUACAUGGAAACAGCCAAAUGAAUAAGGGUGGUCCAUGCCACUGACUACACACAGUAAAUCUACCAAUUAUCAAGCACACAAAUGUCUUUUUUCUCAAAGUACUGCAUGAAGUAAAUGUACUUAAAAACUAUGACUCCAAAAUUAUCUAAAGAAUGCUUAGCAACCAGUAUUAUGUCAGGAAAACAAUAUCUGCUUUCUAGGUUUGCAGCUUUUGUAAGCUAUCUUAAGCCCCUCCCAUACAUAAUUUAGAAAAAUAGCAAACUUCAAGCACUGACAUAAAAUUACUCAUCUCUAGUAAUGGAAAAUGAUUACAGUUUAAAAUACCAAAAGAUACAGGGUAAGCUAAUUACUAAAAUUUGAAAACUCCACCAUCUAGUGGCACAAAUAUAACUAUCAUCUACUUCCAUUAUGGAUACAACUUAAAUCAGUUUGAAAUAUUCAAUCACAAAAUUCAAUGACUAAGUUAUUACUGCAGCAUUAAUGAUACAGAAUAUCUUUAAAAAUAGCUUCAUGUUUUGCUAUAUAGUACCUUAGGUUAAGCAUUCAUUCUCUUCAUUAAAGCACCUGUACCCAAAUGUGCCUUUCACAUCUACUUUGUGUACAUGCCAUUCCUUAAGCUUAGAAUGCCCCUUCCCACUUCACUGUCUAAUCAUUAGUCUUAAUGGAAUGGCAAACUCCACAAUAAUGUAGUGCCUAUUAACCAUGUCACAUAUAUUAAUUUAAUCCUUCCAAUAUUACCCCAUUUUACAGAUUUUUUGUUUAAAAAGAGCCAUAGAAAUACUAAUUUACUGAGGUUCCAUAGCAAAUCAACUGCAGAGCUAGGAUUUGAAUCCAGGCAGUUGAGAUCGAGCUCACGUUCCUAACAGGCUACACUGCCUCUCAAUCAGCAUGUACGUUUACUGUAUACAUUUACCAAUCCAUUCCUUCUCUAGACUGGAAGUAGAGGCAUGCCUAUUCUUAACUCAUUUUUAAUCAAUUCUGAAUAACAUAAUAAUGGAAAAUUUUGAGUUCAAAUCCCAGCUAGUAAUAGAACCUUGGGCAAGUAAGUUAAAUAAACCCUGUAGCCUCAGUUUACUUAUCUGUGAAAUAAAUCUAUGCUAUGCAGUGGUGCAAAAAGGAACAAUAAAUGUAAGACCCAGGGCAGAGGCUGGCACAGUGUAUUACACCAUCAGGAGUAUCUAUUAUUGUUGAAGUAUCUUAGGUGAGUAGCUAGAGUACUAAAUAUGGUAUCUUUGCAAGACAUGGGCUUGAAUCCUAAUUCUGACACUAAACUGCCUUUGUUUUGGGCAUGUUCCUUAACAUCUCUCAACUUUACUUCUCUCUCUAUAAAAUGAAGAUAUCAUCUACUAAUAGUGUAAUUAAUAUUAAAUAAGUUAAUAUUAUAUACAUAGUAGGCACUCCGUAAGUUUGUUAAAUCAUCAAAUUACUUGAACAGAAAAGUCAACCUCAAAAAGUCAAAACUGACUUGUUUUAAACUUGCUUGAGGCCUGGAAGGUUGGCCUCAAUUCUCAGUAUUUCAGAACAAGCUGCUUACAACAGAACCUUGAAUUGUGUAUGAGAGCACAUCAACUUAUUGCUUACUUCUGAUUCUUCCUGAGCUAGAAACUACUCACAUGCACUCUGUAAAUCAUGACCUGAGAGUCUGCUUGGAGCAGUCCCUCUUGGACUUUUUCUUCUUCUUACCUCUUUCUCUUCUUGCCCUCCCUGAGGCCAGGCAUCAUCUCCCUUUACCAAUCCAAUCCACAAUAAAAAUAUAGUCACUUUCAGCUUCUCAGUUUUUUCCUGGUUUCUCCAUGAUGAUACUCCCCAUUUCCACUCAUUUGCAGAAUGGGUGUUACUGCUGUUAUAUUGCAGUCACUCAACAGUAAAAUAAGUCCAAUGACUAAAGUCAUCUUAGGGGUGAUUAUUAUUCAGUGGGAUCAAAUAAGAAUUUGCUAUCUCAGAAAAACAACAUUUAGGCAGGCAAGUUUUAUCUUCUGCUUUAAAAAAGUCUCGUCUUGGUAUGCAAUAAUAUAUAAAAAUUACAUAUAUAUUUAAUGAAGCAUACAAAUAAGUGAACCCACAAUCCAAAUUAAGAAUAUUUCUAGUAUCAAAGUUUCAUAUUUGCCACUCCCAGAAAUAACCACUCUCCUGAAUGUUUAUCAUUCAUUUUUUCCAUAAUUUUAUUAUGAAAAUAUUACUCAUAAACACAACAUAUAAGUACCAUAGUAGUGUUAUAUUAUCUUUCUUAAUAUUUAAGGUACAAUAUUUCACUAUGCAGAAAUGACUGCUAUCCUUUCAAAAGUCUGCUUACAAGCUUGGCCCUUGACUAAUACCUAUAACUUGGGAUUCUGAGGAGUCCCAUCAUGCCCACAACUGAGAAGAGUAGCUUACUGUGCCUAAACUGGAUAUACAAACAACACAAUUUACUCUAAAUGCCUACUUUCCUUUUGGAAGUUUGGAUUUUGUUAUGUGGCAGGCAGAAGAAACCUAUGUGACCAGCUGCACCUAACAGGCCUCACUGGGAGAUGACAUUUCAUAUAUGUUGUCACAGUUCACUGCUGAAGGAAUAAAACAUGCCCCUAAUUCCACUGGGAGAGGAUCCCUGGAAGCCUGGCUUCCUCCAUACUUAACCCCACAUCUUCUCCCUCUCCUGAUUUUGCUUUGUAUUAACAUCUUUUUGCCAUAAUAAAUCAUAGCCAUGAGCACAACUAUGUGCUGAGUCUUGUGAAUUCUCUAAGCAAAUCAUCAAACCUGGGGGCUAGUCUUUCGGGACCCCCGACAUAUUUCAUGUAUAUUACGUACCAUAUGUAAGGGUUAUUUUAUUUGAUAUAUUUCUAAGGAACAUGAUUCCAGAAAACAGAAUAUACUGCAUAUUUCUAAGACUUAUUUUUACUUAACAUUUUUAAAAAAUUGAUCCAUGUUUUAAAGUGUAUAGCCAAGGUUCAUUCAUUUUGCACUAAUUCCACUGUAUGAUUAUGUCACAAUUCAUGGAGUCACUCUCCAGUUAAAAAGUAUUAAUACUGUUUCUACAUUUUUGCUAUCAUGAGCAAUACGGCUACAAAUUUAUUUGCACAUCUCCUUAAGCAUGACUACAAGAAUUUACUUCUCAAGGAUAUAUAUAAAAGAGGAAUGAAAUUGCUGAUAUUCACCUCUACAAGAUAAAGCCAAAUUAUUUUCCAUAAUUUUUCUAUCAGGUUACAGUUGCACCAAAACAUAGGUAUUAUCACUGAUCUACAUAUCCUAAGUAUCAGUACUUAAAAUUUUGACUCAUUUUUCUAGUUUUUCAAAAGAGUGUAAUGAGGGAUGUACUCAAACAGCAUUAAGAGUAUAAGCUUGUAGACAUUUAUUCAGCAUGUGGCUUGUGUCAGGCUCUAUGUGAUUUGCUUUUUUAAUAACAGUUUCACUCAUCCUCAUAAUAUAUAAAAUAUAUUAAGUUGAAAUAAAACCUACAGGCCAGCAGGAAUUCUUGAGAAUUUUCUACUUAGUGCCCGUACAUGCCUAUGGAUUUGAUAAGUAUCUUAAAGAAAGAAUGAGUCUUUAAAUCCCAGGUAUCUACACACAAGACUUUCUCUAGGUUCCUUCUAGGAGUAGGGUGACCAAUUGUUCCAGUUUGUCUAGGACUGAGGGGUUUCCUGAAAGUUGAACUUUCAGUCCAAAAUAGGAAAGUCCCAUAUAAAUGAAAAUAGUUGGCCAACCUUCUGGAAUCAGUACACAUGGGUUCUUGUCCUAUUCUGCCACUUACUAGCUAUGUGUUCUCAGGAAUAACCACUUCCCUCUCUAAGCCUUUCUAAAUAUCAAGUUUGGGUUAAAAUAUUGCAACUAGUGCUCUUGGUCAUGACUAUUAAACAAUGAUACAGUUAACUAUUAUAUCAAGAAAAAUACAGUUAACUACAAAAAACACAAGAGAUUUGUAAGCUGUUUAAAAACAACUGGACAGAUACCACAACUUUUAAAAUGUAACUAGGAAAGCUGAACAAUUAAAUGCUUUGUCAUAUAACUUGUGAUAUUCUUCCUAAUCCAAUCUUAAAUGUUUUAAAAACUCAAUUGUCCUAUAUGACAACUAUAUGCAAAACUCUCUAUUAACUAUUAUACUUUAAUUACCUAAUAUGUUUUCAUUUAAUCAUACAUACUUUCCUCUAAAUAAUUCUUUUAUAAUUCUCAAAUCUUCAAAGAUUGAACUUCCUAAAUACCUGAUUUAGCAAUCAUUAAGGAAAUGAGGGGUAAACUUUAACGGGGGAAAAAAAAAAAGGAAAGAAUUAAUCCAAUAUUACCUUUUAAAUGUAUCAAAAACACCUGAAUCAUCAAAAUUAAUGGCAUCGGGGUGUCCAGGAGGUAGACAUACAUCGCCAAUAUGAACUUCACAACAUGGAAUCCCAUGCUGUACCACAGUCAAGCUUGGAUAAAAUGAUGACCAACCUAAAGUUAAACAAUGUUGCAUAAAGGAUGAGGACUCACAGAAAGAACCCUUAAUUACUUUAGAACAGACAUAUUAUUUCUCUAAGUUAAAAAGUUACUGCUAAGUCCCAAGAGACACUCUAACACAAGUCACAUAACUUUACAAUAAAGAAGUACUAGAUUAAAUACUUCCUUUCAGCAACAUAAAAACCUUCCAAAACUAGCUUACAAUUCAGCAUUUCGUUAUAUAUACAUGUAUCUCCUUUAUCGAUCAGCACUUCCAUCAGUUUACAAGACAGUAAGUGAUAAAGAUGACUAAGACCAUGAAAUAGUCUCUGAAUUAUUAAAUUAUGUUUAGCAUAGUGUUACUGUAAUAAGGCUCUGAAGACUGAUUCAGGUUUAUAUCAUAUUUGGUAACUCUUAAUAAAAAUGUGAUUACUAGAUCACUACACAUUCCCCAAACUAUACCAAGAUAAUAGAAAGCUUAUUACAGUAUGCUACAUGAACCUAAAAAUUUCUCAUACUCAAAGGAAAUAGAGUUCCACCUGACUACUGCUAAGAUACUUAAGCACCAUUAGGUAUUAUUAUAAGCAUUGUCUAUGGUAGUUUUUCAUUUAGUUGAAAGACGUUUUCCCCUCAAAUUAUUUUUUCUUAAUCAUUAAAGCUGCAGUCAUAAUUAGAGAUUUAAGAAGCUUUGUUUAAAAAAAAAUUACUACAAAUGCAAUUGAAGCCCUACCUUUAUUUUUAACAUAGAAAGGGUGGUCCAGCUUACACUCUACGGUAAGUAAACCAUCUUCUACUGUACCAGGAUCAAAAGUCAACUUCAGUACAGACUCGCCAAAUGAUACACUUUCUUCAUGUGAUAACAACUUUAGACCAUCAGAACCAUAGCCCUGAAAAUAUAUGCAUAGCAUGAAUGAAUUGGAAAUGUUCAAUUCAAAACACUGUGAAGUUGCCAUUACAUGUAAGACUUUGUGGAAAAGGUAAAAGUAACCAAGAUGGGAUCAUCCCUACUGUUUAAGAGCUCUUAACCCAGUAGUGAAGAAAGACAGAUAUAUAUAUAUAUAACUAGACUGGAAUAAGCCCUUUCACUCAAGUAUAAAUAAUGGUGUUGCAGUUUAAUAAAGAGUUAUUAAUUCCAAAAGAGCGAGAUUAAGAAGGGAUUUUCAAUUCCAACUGGAACUGAGAUUUAAAAGAAGAAUGCAACUGAGAAAGAUAGAAGGACGUGCCUUGCACCAAGAAAUUUUUAAUUAACACCUUCUCUGAGAAGUGCUGGGUAUUUGCUAAAAAUACAAAGUGAGUUCAGAUAUGGGGCAAAUAAAGCUAAUAAAGAGAGGCCAGUUAACUAACAGGCUCUUAAAGGCAGGCAAAGUAAUUACACUUUUCCCUAAGAAGGUAUUGGGAAAUCAAAGUGUUUUUAUCCGUAUGACUGUCAAUGUUUAAGAUGAUGGUAAGUAAGAAGACUCUACAGAAGAGAUCUCAUAUUCAAUUACUUGAGGAUAUGAGAGAGAUCCAUUAUAGAUCUGAACUGACAAAUGCAAUGGUAACAGAACCAGACUAAUUUAAAUUCAAUGAAUAUUGAGCAUUUAACACAUGCCACAUGAGAGAAUCUGAAAAUACAAACAUUAACAAACAUGAUCCUUACCCUUACAUUCAUAGAAAAAUGGAGACAAACAUGCCAAAAGCUAGCUAGAGUAUCCAAUCAUAAUUACACUAAUACAUGAACAUGGUAAUGAAUAAGAAAGAAGGAUGACUUAAGUCUUUAUAGAAUUAGAAUCAAAUGACUAUAAGUAAAGGGAAGAAAUGGAAUAGUAAAAGACAACUUCAUGAUUUUGAAUAUGGUAAUCAAGAAGGAUGAUCACAGUAACUUUAAAAGAAUAGGUGAAAAGCCAAGAAGAGGACCAAAAAGGUGAGGGCAGUUUUAGUCACACUAAGUUUCGUUCAAAUAACUGAUUGAUAUUCAUGUAGAAAUGUCUAACAUGCAGCUGAAAAUGAACAGGUGAAGGCUACAGACAUAGACUGGCAAAUAAGGAAAUUACAAAAUCUUCUAAUUCUCAGGGAUACAGGAGACCUUAAAACUAAUGUAAUCCAAUCCCAUUUUUGGGAAGCCAAUAUUCAGAGGGGUUAACAAUCUGCCUAAGAUCAGUAACACAGAUAAUUGCUGGAGGAGCUGUAAAGUGAGUCCAGGUUUCCUGACUUCAGGUCCAGAGUGCUUUCCACAGGACAUGAUGGAGGUGCUGCUGACACCAUCUGGAGAGAGGAACUGGUGAACAAAGUGAAGAGGGGCAGAAUCUUGUAUAAUAUUCAGCAUUAGGGGCAGACGAGUAUCCAGCAUAAAAGACUGGGAAUCAGGAUGCUGCCAUGCUACACAAAUCAAGGGAACAUAAUAUCAGGAACUAACCCAAUGUGUCAAAUGUUGUAUAGAUGUCAAACAGAACAAACAAAGUCUCUUGUCCUAGAAAUCAGAAUAAAGGUAGUAACCUUUGAGACAAUUUUAGUAGAGCAGUAAAGGCCAAAGUUAGACUACUGUGAACUUCACUAACAUGAAGAGUAACAGUAAGGGGAGGACACUGAAGGCAGCCAAGACAAGACAGUUUUUCCCAAGAGACUUAAUAGUGAGACACGGCAGGAUCAAAAACAGAAUAUAUUUAAGCACACUUCACAUGCCCAUUUUCUUGCCUACAGAAGACAUGCAGAAAUUAAAGAUUUCAAGUGAAAGGUAUCAACUUUAUCCUAAUACUGCUCACUACUGCUUUUGCUUAUCAACUUAGAAAAUGCUAGUUUUAAGUAACUUAAUAUAACUUAUAUAAAGUAACUUAAUAUAAUUGGCUGUCAAUAAUCUAUAGGGGAAUUAAUCACUUUGUAGAUAACCUAAGGCCAGGCUAUGAUUAGUUUAUUUCUUCAUUACAUGUUUUUGAUACCAGUUUUCCCCAAUCUAAAGUGUAUAAAACACAAAGAAGCAGUUAAGAAAUACACUAUUUCCCAUCCAAGAAAGCAUGGUAGUAAAGUCAGCCUAAAAUCACUGCUCCUCCCCAUCAGACUAAGCAGUGAGUAGUCACAAAAAUGCUCUACCUAAAAUGUAAGAUGUCAUAUGAAUAUGAAAGUAAAUGGAGAAUAUUUCUGUAGAUUAAUAAUAAAUCUUGUUUCAUGUUGAAAGAUUUUAAGAAAUUUAAAUCAACCUUGUGAACGCCCAUUUGAAGAUCUUCCUCAUUAUCACAGCCUUCAGCUCUAGCAAAAUCUUCAACAUCUUGCCAUUCCUUAUUGCUUCCCUUAUGAAAGCACAGUCGUGUGCCUACGGUUUAGGUAGAAAAAAAAAUAUUAGACGUGUGUCUGUGCAACACAAGUAAGCUGUAAAAAAUACAAGUUUUUUGUUUUGUUUUUACCUUUCAAAAAACAGUGCCAGACAGUUGAAGGCCAGGAAUUGCACCAUCCCAAAUCAUCAUCAUCUGACAGGGAGGACAUGCAGAAAAUGCCAGAUUCUGACUCACUAUUUGCCUAUGGAGAAAAAUAUUAUCAACUUUCAUUUGUUUUCAAAUAUAUCUCUUAAUACCUGUUUUUAUCCAAGUCUUUAGGCCCAUGCUUAUAGGUGGAUAACUUCAUAAUUCUAAAGUUAGGAACAAUACAGUGCGUUCAAAAACUGAAGUUUUUGUCAGGCUCUGGGAUAAUUUGCU